CGCACAAGCGGUGGAGCAUGUGGUUUAAUUCGAAGCAACGCGAAGAACCUUACCAGGUCUUGACAUCCCUUUGACCGAACCUUAACCGGUUCUUUCCUUCGGGACAAAGGUGACAGGUGGUGCAUGGUUGUCGUCAGCUCGUGUCGUGAGAUGUUGGGUUAAGUCCCGCAACGAGCGCAACCCUUAUCUUUAGUAGCCAGCACGUUAUGGUGGGGACUCUAGAGAGACUGCCGAGGAUAACUCGGAGGAAGGUGGGGAUGACGUCAAAUCAUCAUGCCCCUUAUGAUCUGGGCUACACACGUGCUACAAUGGUGGUAACAAAGGGAAGCGAAGCCGCGAGGUGGAGCAAACCCCAUAAAAGCCAUCCCAGUUCGGAUUGUAGUCUGCAACUCGACUACAUGAAGUUGGAAUCGCUAGUAAUCGCGAAUCAGAAUGUCGCGGUGAAUACGUUCCCGGGCCUUGUACACACCGCCCGUCACACCACGGGAGUCGGAAGCACCCAACGUCAGUGACCCAACUCGUAAGAGAGGGAGCUGCCUAAGGUGAAAUCGAUGACUGGGGUGAAGUCGUAACAAGGUAACCAAGGGCGAA
Molecule: ribosomal RNA, 591 nt
Filed under: uncultured bacterium
Lineage: Bacteria
Description: bacterial SSU rRNA
Rfam family: Bacterial small subunit ribosomal RNA
Source: RNAcentral